UUCCGGAGUUCGUGUCAAACUUUUUAUAUACAUUUCUUCCGCAAACCAGUAAAAUCAGAAUGAGGUCCUUGCGAAGAUAUGUUUAUUUUCGUGGGAUCCUAUGUAAUACGGUAGUACGGGUUGGGGCCUUGACCGUUUAUGCAUGCUUCGGCAAACUUUACAGGACUGGUUGAAAGUGAGAAACAUAUAUUGAUAUCAUACAGAGAUAUUAAACAAUGAUACAAAUUAAUAAACGAACCUUUCGCUUGAACCAGUAUUCCUAUCUUUCAUUAAGAAAGAAUUUAAACAGGACUGUUUUCUUGGCCGUGCCAUAAUGAAAUAACCAACCCAACCGCGGGUAGGGCACUUUCACCUACUUCGUGGGAAAGUGGGGUAGGGUUGUUUGAACUUCAAUUAUCAAAUAAACUGUUUAUAAAAUCCGCAACUACCAUGUCACAAUUGUUUUACUUGAACUGCUAAAAGCCUAUGAUAUUUUUUCACCAAACGCAGUACCGCGAUGAAGUAUAAUAUAUUUAUAAAACUUAUAAAUAAACCGUAGGUCAGUUUAUUAGUAAUCACGUUGAUUCUGCUAAACUUACUGUUUUAUAUACUUCUUUGAAUGUUAAAACAGAUGCAAUGCGACGACAUUAAUAUUCGUCGUCUGUUCAGAUACUUUAUUGAGCUGAGGACAACCCAUGCUUUGCAAAUUUUAGGGGGGGCGCACGCCCGCCACGCCCCCGCCUAAAUCCGCCC
Molecule: long non-coding RNA, 732 nt
Filed under: Mytilus galloprovincialis (Mediterranean mussel)
Lineage: Eukaryota; Metazoa; Mollusca; Bivalvia; Mytilida; Mytilidae
Source: RNAcentral